ACGGGAGGCAGCAGUGGGGAAUAUUGGGCAAUGGGCGAAAGCCUGACCCAGCAACGCCGCGUGAAGGAAGAAGGUCUUCGGAUUGUAAACUUCUUUUAUGAGGGACGAAGGACGUGACGGUGCCUCAUGAAUAAGCCACGGCUAACUACGUGCCAGCAGCCGCGGUAAUACGUAGGUGGCAAGCGUUAUCCGGAUUUACUGGGUGUAAAGGGCGCGUAGGCGGGGGUGCAAGUCAGAUGUGAAAUCUAUGGGCUUAACUCAUAAACUGCAUUUGAAACUGUAUCUCUUGAGUGCUGGAGAGGUAGAUGGAAUUCCUUGUGUAGCGGUGAAAUGCGUAGAUAUAAGGAAGAACACCAGUGGCGAAGGCGAUCUACUGGACAGUAACUGACGCUGAGGCGCGAGAGCGUGGGGAGCAAGCAGGAUUAGAUACCCUGGUA
Molecule: ribosomal RNA, 437 nt
Rfam family: Bacterial small subunit ribosomal RNA